CGGGCCUUGCCCUUUGGGAAUUACCCAAAGGGGCCCCAAUUUGCCUUUCAAAAGUUUUCGGUGAUUUCCACGAAAAAUUUUGCAAUUUUCAUUAUUAACUUAAUCCGCAUUUCCGGUGCUUUUUUUAAUCGGUGCAGAACCCCAAAGUUCCGUUGUUGAAAGUUUUGAAGAUUUUUGAUUUUUAUCAACAAAAGUGACAUAAAAUUUAAAAAUAAACAUUCCAAUUAUAGAUAUUGAAGUUUGAUAAAACCUUUGGCCCCACCUAAUUCUUAGCCAGACCAAAGCCAUAGUUUCAAAUUAAAAAAAAAAUAGUGUGUAAGGUUUUUCGCCGCGCACUUUAGCGCUGGCAAGAGAUUACUGUAGUGUUCCUUCUUUCCGUAAGGGGGACCUGCGGAAGGAUCAUUACAGUAUUCUUUUGCCAGCGCUUAAUUGCGCGGCGAAAAACCUUACACACUAUGUUUUUUUAAUUUGAAACUAUUGCUUUGGUCUGGCUUAGAAAUAGGUUGGGCCAAAGGUUUUAUCAAAACUUCAAUAUUUAUUAUUGAAUUGUUAUUUUUAAUUUUAUGUCAAUUUGUUGAUUAAUAUCAAAAAUCUUCAAAACUUUCAACAACGGAUCUCUUGGUUCUCGCAUCGAUGAAGAACGCAGCGAAAUGCGAUAAGUAAUAUGAAUUGCAGAUUUUCGUGAAUCAUCGAAUCUUUGAACGCACAUUGCGCCCUUUGGUAUUCCAAAGGGCAUGCCUGUUUGAGCGUCAUUUCUCUCUCAAAUCUUCGGAUUUGGUUUUGAGUGAUACUCUUAGUCAGACUAAGCGUUUGCUUGAAAUGUAUUGGCAUGAGUGGUACUAGAUAGUGCUGAACUGUUUUCAAUGUAUUAGGUUUAUCCAACUCAUUGACCAGUAAAGUAUUUGUUUAUUACACAGGCUCGGCCUUACAACAACAAACAAAGUUGACCUCAAAUCAGGUAGAUAACCCAGUUC
RNAcentral lists this unclassified non-coding RNA (974 nucleotides) under Dujonia railenensis. RNAcentral describes it as "[Candida] railenensis sequence contains ITS1, 5.8S rRNA gene and ITS2". The stretch from base 599 to 752 matches the Rfam family "5.8S ribosomal RNA". Lineage: Eukaryota; Fungi; Ascomycota; Pichiomycetes; Serinales; Debaryomycetaceae. The record is from RNAcentral.